AAUGAGUCUUCCAACAGAAAUCAAUGGGAUUUACAAAAUGCGCUAAAUGCACCGCUGGACUGGGCAUAGGGCAUGGCGGGCAUAUGCCCGGUGGCCUGAAGCCUUUUAUUUAUUUUUUUAUUCAUGCCAAACUCGCGUCUAACGUAGCAGGCCACGUUAACUUCAAUGCAGGCCACAUUAACGUCAAUUCAAGUUAAUGCAAAUUAAACUGGCAGAUCUGCCCUUUAUCAUGAUUGAUUGAAGCCUGGGCCAAUGAGGUGAGGGGCAGGCCAAUUUCGCCUACCCCUCCAUCUCAGCCUCCGUUGGUGACUUGGUUGGUUAGCCACUGCUAGCAGGCAGAUCGAAAACGGGCAAUAUGGACCCUAGUUGGAAGAAAAGAAAGGGUGGCGCUGAAAGAGCCAGGGACCAGAAAAAAACAGCCCUUCAGGCAGAUGCUACGAAAUGCCUAAACAUAGCUGAUAUGUUUGCUGCUCGUGGACAUGGAGCCUCCACAUCUGCAGCAGCAGCAUCAACAGGUAGUGGAGGAGAAGAUGCUCGACAGCAGGUGGACGAGGCGGCCAUGACGGUUCCCAUGCUUAAGGAGUGCUGGGUGUUGCUGCUGAGAAGAGGCAGAUGGGGUAGCAUCAGCAUCUCUCCCACUUGUUGGAGUGUGUGUGUGUGUGUGUGUGUGUGUGUGUGUGUGUGUGUGUGUGUGUGUGUGUGUGUGUGUGUGUGUGUGUGUGUGUGUGUUCUGGUCCAUUUAAAAGCUCUCAUUGGUUUGCAUGCUGCAUGUAAGUUACCCAUUCCUUUUCGUUUUAAUGUUUGUUUUAUUGAUAUUCAUAUUCUUAAUAUACAGUAUAAUUGUGUAUUUAUUUACUUUAUUUUUUCUAUUUAUUUUGUACAGUUAAGUUAAGCAAUUUAUUUUAUUUUGUACAGUUAAGUAAUUAUUGACUCAUUGUAAAUAUAAGUGUUUAACUUCAAUUGUUAUGUGUGUCAUCACUUUUUAUUUUAUAUUCAAAAUUAAAUGGAUGAAAAUCCUA
Gadus morhua (Atlantic cod) is the source of this 1019-nucleotide long non-coding RNA. RefSeq lists it as uncharacterized. The record is from RefSeq and is a predicted model, not a curated record. The transcript has 2 exons. Lineage: Eukaryota; Metazoa; Chordata; Actinopteri; Gadiformes; Gadidae.